This 497-nucleotide ribosomal RNA is filed under the name uncultured bacterium. RNAcentral describes it as "partial 16S ribosomal RNA". It matches the Rfam family "Bacterial small subunit ribosomal RNA", at positions 28 to 507 of the family's 1533-position model. The record is from RNAcentral.
GAUGAACGCUGGCGUCGUGCCUAAUACAUGCAAGUCGAGCGAACGGACGAGAAGCUUGCUUCUCUGAUGUUAGCGGCGGACGGGUGAGUAACACGUGGAUAACCUACCUAUAAGACUGGGAUAACUUCGGGAAACCGUAGCUAAUACCGGAUAAUAUUUUGAACCGCAUGGUUCAAAAGUGAAAGACGGUCUUGCUGUCACUUAUAGAUGGAUCCGCGCUGCAUUAGCUAGUCGGUAAGGUAACGGCUUACCAAGGCAACGAUGCAUAGCCGACCUGAGAGGGUGAUCGGCCACACUGGAACUGAGACACGGUCCAGACUCCUACGGGAGGCAGCAGUAGGGAAUCUUCCGCAAUGGGCGAAAGCCUGACGGAGCAACGCCGCGUGAGUGAUGAAGGUCUUCGGAUCGUAAAACUCUGUUAUUAGGGAAGAACAUAUGUGUAAGUAACUGUGCACAUCUUGACGGUACCUAAUCAGAAAGCCACGGCUAACUACGUG